AAUGAACGCUGGCGGCAUGCCUAACACAUGCAAGUCGAGCGAGCGGCGGACGGGUGAGUAAUGCCUGGGAAACUGCCUGAUGGAGGGGGAUAACUACUGGAAACGGUAGCUAAUACCGCAUACUAUCAGAUGUGCCCAGAUGGGAUUAGCUAGUAGGUGGGGUAACGGCUCACCUAGGCGACGAUCCCUAGCUGGUCUGAGAGGCUGACCAGCCACACUGGAACUGAGACACGGUCCAGACUCCUACGGGAGGCAGCAGUGGGGAAUAUUGCACAAUGGGCGCAAGCCUGAUGCAGCCAUGCCGCGUGUGUGAAGAAGGCCUUCGGGUUGUAAAGCACUGUCAGCGGGGAGGCGUUACCCACAGAAGAAGCACCGGCUAACUCCGUGCCAGCAGCCGCGGUAAUAC
Molecule: ribosomal RNA, 406 nt
Filed under: uncultured bacterium
Lineage: Bacteria
Description: partial 16S ribosomal RNA
Rfam family: Bacterial small subunit ribosomal RNA
Source: RNAcentral